UUUGAGUGUUUACUUUACAACAACAUUGUCUGUUUAAUGGGGGGGGGGGGGAAGUCAGGCAACUUAAGUAAGAUCGAUCAUCCCCAGGGAAAGUGAAUAUCUUCUUGCAAUCGUCAUUAAUUUUACAAGGACUUCUGUACACACAUCUGUUUGCUGGAAAAUUGAUUGGAAACAGUAUAAGUAAAUAUGAAAUAACGUUUUAUGUAGCAUUCUCUGCUCUAUAUAUAUGAAUAAUAUAGGAAGAAAAUAUUACCAGUAGACUGAGAAAAAAGGAGAAAAAUAAUUAACCAACUUAGAAACUUUUGUGCUGACAUUACUAUUGUCUUCGUAGCUCUAUUUAUUGGUGAAGAUAACUGAAGCAGCCAAGAACAAGCUUGCAAAUUUUGUAGCUCUAUUGUCUUUGUAGCUCUA
This 411-nucleotide long non-coding RNA is filed under the name Brassica napus (rape). Its description in RNAcentral is "long non-coding RNA (BNAP_LNC021609)". Lineage: Eukaryota; Viridiplantae; Streptophyta; Magnoliopsida; Brassicales; Brassicaceae. The record is from RNAcentral.